RNAcentral lists this long non-coding RNA (1221 nucleotides) under Anas platyrhynchos (mallard). RNAcentral describes it as "lncRNA (ENSAPLG00020007438.1)". Lineage: Eukaryota; Metazoa; Chordata; Aves; Anseriformes; Anatidae. The record is from RNAcentral.
AUGCCGGGAGGUGGCAGCAGGUCACUGGGACAUGACACAGGGAUCAGAAUGGUGGCAGUGGGGACACAGGGAGGGGUUACUGGGGAUCAGAGGGUGGCACUGGGACGCAGCGGGUGGCCUGGGGCUCUCACCAGCCUCGGGAGGGGGGUGCCAGUCCUCCCCCCCCAGCUCCCAGCGCUCCGUCGGCAGCUCCUCCAGCCCGCCUGGGGACAGGGACACGCAGAGGGGGGGGCAGCGCUGGCGUCCCCAGCCCACCCCCAGCCCCCCCCCCCAGCAAGGGGACCCCAGGGAGGAAGGAGACGGGGGACAAGGGGCAGGAUGGGGGUGGCCCCGGCCACACCAUGCGCCCCCCCCCCGGGGACUAAAGCAGUGGGGAGCCGAGGGGACGCGGUGACAAGCGCUCAGCACAGGACGGGACCCCCGGUGUCCCCCCGCUCACCUCGGUCUCUGCCAUCCUCCUCCUCCUCCUCAGGGACCCGCGGCUGCCCUGGGGACAGGGACGUCCCCUCUCUGUCCUCGCCCCGCGGGGGGUGCGGGGCCACGGGGGGCUCCCAGGGGGUGUCCGGUGGCUCCGGGGGCCUCGUGCCCGAGGGCUUCUUGGUGGCCUUGGGUGGCUUCUCCUUGGGUGGCUUCUCCUUGGGCGGCUUCUCCUUGGGCUUCUUGGAGCCUUUUGGGGGUUUCUCGGAGCCUUUUGGGGGUUUCUCGGAGCCUUUUGGGGUCUUCUCCUUGGGCUUCUUGGGGGGCUUGUCCCCGUCCUUGCUCUUGUCCCUGCUCUUGUCCCGCUCCUUGUCCCUGUCCCUGUCCUUGUCCUUUUUGGAGCCCCGUGCUCUCUCCUUGGGCUUUUUGGUGGGUUUUGGGGCUUUUUCCUUCCGGCCCUUCUUGGGUGCCUCGGGCUCCGGCAGCCGCCCCGGAGGGUCUGGGGGGGGCCGGGUCGUGUCGGGGGGAGUGGGUAGGGACAGGACAGCCCCGGCCGGGCACUCCCAACCCAGCACCCCCAGCCCAGCACCCCCCAGUGCCCCCCAUCACUGCGCCCCCCGUGUCCCCCCCUCCCCAAUCCCGCUCCCUCCCGGUACCGGGCAGCCCCAGCAGCCCCCCCCUCACCGGUGCUCAGCCCGGUGCCGGUGCCCUGCUCGGUGGCGAAGCCCGGCUCGGUGCCAUCCCCGUCCCCGUCCCCGUCGCCGUCGCCGUCGCGGUCCCCGUCGGGCCCGAGGAAGCCCCUGA